RNAcentral lists this ribosomal RNA (429 nucleotides) under uncultured bacterium. Its description in RNAcentral is "bacterial SSU rRNA". It matches the Rfam family "Bacterial small subunit ribosomal RNA", at positions 355 to 801 of the family's 1533-position model. The record is from RNAcentral.
UCGGGAAUUUUGGGCAAUGGGCGAAAGCCUGACCCAGCAACGCCGCGUGAAGGAUGAAGUAUUUCGGUAUGUAAACUUCGUAAGAAUAGGAAGAAUAAAUGACGGUACUAUUUGUAAGGUCCGGCUAACUACGUGCCAGCAGCCGCGGUAAUACGUAGGGACCAAGCGUUGUUCGGAUUUACUGGGCGUAAAGGGCGCGUAGGCGGUGUGUCAAGUCAGUUGUGAAAUCUCCGAGCUUAACUCGGAACGGUCAACUGAUACUGUCACACUAGAGUACAGAAGGGGCAAUCGGAAUUCUUGGUGUAGCGGUGAAAUGCGUAGAUAUCAAGAGGAACACCUGAGGUGAAGACGGGUUGCUGGGCUGACACUGACGCUGAGGCGCGAAAGCCAGGGGAGCAAACGGGAUUAGAUACCCAAGUAGUCCCUGAG